UUGGUCCACGCGCGGGAUCCGUGGCGUUCGGAGACGCGGUUAUGCCAGCGCGUGGCCGGCGAAGAUCGCGGGGUGGAGGCGGUCGUGCCCUGCCCGAAUUUCAUGGCGCCCCCGGUCAACCUCGCCUGGAUUCCAGCGGCGCGAUCCGACCUUCGUGGUGAGGAAGAUGACCCCCGACCGGUGGGGCCCACAUGUCAAAGGGAAUGCGCGACUCAGCUGAGAGCCCUAAAGCAAGCCAAGGAUGAGCAUGUACAGAAGUUGAUGAAGGCCUACUUGGUAACCCAUAACCAACGUAGAGCCCUACGGAUCCAAGAGCCCGCUUCAUCCAACCCAGUUCAACCCAGGAGAGCUAAAGAUCCCCAGAUUCUUGAUGGUCACCCGGUCUCUACUAGAGGAGAAAAGAUGGCUUGGGAACUCCCGAAAGGAGCCAUAGUCUUGGAAGGAAUUCCAGUCUUCCCUCAUGCUAUGAAUAAGCAAGAGCACCCCGAAUCCACCCAAGAUCCCCCGCUAGAGUUGUUUGAGCCCCUCACCAUGAAGAAGAUUCCAGCACCAUUCCUUGAGAUCAAGGAAGAAGCUGCAAGCACCCCGCCAGCACCGCUGCCCUCUGAGGAGCUACAAGCGCCAGUCCUGCUUGAAGAAGAGUUUGACCCUGUCCUACCAUCUCAGUCGCUGCCAGAAGAAGUCAUCAACAUCAGCUCCCUCUUAACCCAUCCAGGAGAUGUCUCAGAUGAAGUUGUGCGCCAGCCUUUCCAGAAGAGAAGCUACCUGGUCUGA
RNAcentral lists this unclassified non-coding RNA (774 nucleotides) under Zea mays. Its description in RNAcentral is "misc RNA Zm00001eb091450". The record is from RNAcentral. Lineage: Eukaryota; Viridiplantae; Streptophyta; Magnoliopsida; Poales; Poaceae.